RNAcentral lists this unclassified non-coding RNA (360 nucleotides) under Hevea brasiliensis (rubber tree). The record is from RNAcentral. Lineage: Eukaryota; Viridiplantae; Streptophyta; Magnoliopsida; Malpighiales; Euphorbiaceae.
UAUCAAGCAUAUGGUAAAAGUCCACAUCCAAAAACGAUUCAACAUCAAUCAAAAAAAUAUGUAUAACCACAAGCAUAUUACUACUCCAAGUCAGCACGGCAAUCUUGGGAGGAGGGAAAAACACUUUUUUACACUUUCAAUCUUGAACUUUUAGAAAUUAAACUUGAAACCUAUGGACUAAAUUUCCAGUUCCUUCAGAAUAAUUGCUAGGUUGCUCAUAUGUUUUGGCUCUUGCCCAGCUUGUUAUUGCAAUCUAUCACCUUACCAUUAGUGAAUCUCCUUAUGAUCAGGAAAAACCAAAUCUAUUCCACAAAUGAUAAGAAUGUUGUGUUUACUUUCAAGGGAAAAUGUAUUCAAUAA